GACGAACGCUGGCGGCGUGCUUAACACAUGCAAGUCGAACGGUGAAGCGCCUUCCUUUUUGGUGGGUGUGGAUGAGUGGCGAACGGGUGAGUAACACGUGAGUAACCUGCCCCCUUCUUCUGGAUAACCGCAUGAAAGUGUGGCUAAUACGGGAUAUUCUGGGUCUGUCGCAUGAUGGGUCUGGGAAAGAUAUUGUUUCGGUGGGGGAUGGGCUCGCGGCCUAUCAGCUUGUUGGUGGGGUGAUGGCCUACCAAGGCGGUGACGGGUAGCCGGCCUGGGAGGGUGGACGGUCACACUGGGACUGAGACACGGCCCAGACUCCUACGGGAGGCAGCAGUGGGGAAUAUUGCACAAUGGGCGCAAGCCUGAUGCAGCGACGCCGCGUGAGGGAUGGAGGCCUUCGGGUUGUAAACCUCUUUCGCCAGUGAAGCAGGCCUGCCUCGUUUGUGGGUGGGUUGACGGUAGCUGGAUAAGAAGCGCCGGCUAACUACGUG
This 494-nucleotide ribosomal RNA is filed under the name uncultured bacterium. Its description in RNAcentral is "partial 16S ribosomal RNA". It matches the Rfam family "Bacterial small subunit ribosomal RNA", at positions 28 to 507 of the family's 1533-position model. The record is from RNAcentral.